Molecule: ribosomal RNA, 429 nt
Filed under: uncultured archaeon
Lineage: Archaea
Description: bacterial SSU rRNA
Rfam family: Archaeal small subunit ribosomal RNA
Source: RNAcentral
UACCAGCUCCCUGAGUGGUAAGGACGAUUAUUUGGCCUAAAGCGUCCGUAGCCGGCUUAUCAAGUCUCUUGUUAAACCCAAUGAUUCAAUCAUUGAUCUGCAAGAGAUACUGUUAUGCUAGAGGACGGGAGAGGUCGACGGUAGUCCAGGGGUAGGGGUGAAAUCCUAUAAUCCUUGGAGGACCACCAGUGACGAAGGCGGUCGACUAGAACGUGCCUGACGGUGAGGGACGAAAGCUGGGGGAGCGAACCGGAUUAGAUACCCGGGUAGUCCCAGCUGUAAACGAUGCGGGCUAGGUGUUGGGGCAGCCACGAGCUACUCCAGUGCCGCAGAGAAGUUGUUAAGCCCGCCGCCUGGGGAGUACGGCCGCAAGGCUGAAACUUAAAGGAAUUGGCGGGGGAGCACCACAAGGGGUGAAGGCUGCGGUUU